This 232-nucleotide ribosomal RNA is filed under the name uncultured bacterium. RNAcentral's name for it is "partial 16S ribosomal RNA". It matches the Rfam family "Bacterial small subunit ribosomal RNA", at positions 46 to 266 of the family's 1533-position model. The record is from RNAcentral.
AAGCCUAAUACAUGCAAGUCGAGCGAACAGAGAAGGAGCUUGCUCCUUUGACGUUAGCGGCGGACGGGUGAGUAACACGUGGGCAACCUACCUUAUAGUUUGGGAUAACUCCGGGAAACCGGGGCUAAUACCGAAUAAUCUAUUUUACUUCAUGGUGAAAUACUGAAAGACGGUUUCGGCUGUCGCUAUAAGAUGGGCCCGCGGCGCAUUAGCUAGUUGGUGAGUACGGCUC